CCUANGGGAGGCAGCAGUGGGGAAUCUUGGACAAUGGGCGCAAGCCUGAUCCAGCCAUGCCGCGUGAGUGAUGAAGGCCCUAGGGUUGUAAAACUCUUUCGUGGGGGACGAUAAUGACGGUACCCCAAGAAGAAGCUCCGGCUAACUUCGUGCCAGCAGCCGCGGUAAUACGAAGGGGGCUAGCGUUGUUCGGAUUUACUGGGCGUAAAGCGCGUGUAGGCGGGCUGGAAAGUUGGGGGUGAAAUCCCGAGGCUCAACCUCGGAACUGCCUCCAAAACUUCCAGCCUGGACUCAAGUAGAGGCAAGUGGAAUUGCGAGUGUAGAGGUGAAAUUCGUAGAUAUUCGCAGGAACACCAGUGGCGAAGGCGACUUGCUGGACUUGUAGUGACGCUGAGACGCGAAAGCGUGGGGAGCAAACAGGAUUAGAUACCCCGNUANUC
Molecule: ribosomal RNA, 440 nt
Filed under: uncultured bacterium
Lineage: Bacteria
Description: bacterial SSU rRNA
Rfam family: Bacterial small subunit ribosomal RNA
Source: RNAcentral